This is a non-coding RNA of Cinara cedri, 220 nucleotides long. NCBI's taxonomy places the organism in Eukaryota, Metazoa, Arthropoda, Insecta, Hemiptera, Aphididae. The record is from the annotation of a GenBank genome assembly.
UUAAUUUUAUUCGACAUUUGUUCAAUAGAAAAUUGUAGAAACGAGCAGCUCUGCAAUUUUAAAUUUAUGUUAUAUUUUGUCACCCCAAUUUUCGGGGGUGAAAGUACCAUCUACUUUUGAUUUUUUAAUGGCGACCUAUGUUAAAAAUUCCAUAAUUAGAUGGAGAGUAGUAGUUAAAAUAAAUGUCGGUGUUUACAUUUUUAAUUUCCGUCAAUCCGUU